This 70-nucleotide transfer RNA is filed under the name Camelus bactrianus (Bactrian camel). It matches the Rfam family "tRNA". Rfam says of the family: Transfer RNA (tRNA) molecules are approximately 80 nucleotides in length. Their secondary structure includes four short double-helical elements and three loops (D, anti-codon, and T loops). Lineage: Eukaryota; Metazoa; Chordata; Mammalia; Artiodactyla; Camelidae. The record is from Rfam by way of RNAcentral. RNAcentral also lists the same sequence under 1 other name.
GUGGGUAUAGCUCAGUGGUAGUGCAUGGUUAGCAUGAAUAAGGUCCUGAGUUCAAUUCCCAGUACCUCCA